GGAUCAUGGCUCAGGAUGAACGCUAGCUACAGGCUUAACACAUGCAAGUCGAGGGGAAACGACAUCGAAAGCUUGCUUUUGAUGGGCGUCGACCGGCGCACGGGUGAGUAACGUCGUAUCCAACCUGCCUACCACUUGGGGAUAACCUUGCGAAAGUAAGACUAAUACCCAAUGACAUCCCACGAAGACAUCUGAAUGGGAUUAAAGAUUUAUCGGUGAUGGAUGGGGAUGCGU
Molecule: ribosomal RNA, 234 nt
Filed under: uncultured bacterium
Lineage: Bacteria
Description: partial 16S ribosomal RNA
Rfam family: Bacterial small subunit ribosomal RNA
Source: RNAcentral